RNAcentral lists this ribosomal RNA (547 nucleotides) under uncultured bacterium. Its description in RNAcentral is "bacterial SSU rRNA". It matches the Rfam family "Bacterial small subunit ribosomal RNA", at positions 355 to 896 of the family's 1533-position model. The record is from RNAcentral.
UGGGGAAUAUUGCGCAAUGGGGGGAACCCUGACGCAGCCAUGCCGCGUGAAUGAAGAAGGCCUUAGGGUUGUAAAGUUCUUUCGGUAUUGAGGAAGGUUGAUGUGUUAAUAGCACAUCAAAUUGACGUUAAAUACAGAAGAAGCANUGGCUAACUCCGUGCCAGCAGCCGCGGUAAUACGGAGGGUGCGAGCGUUAAUCGGAAUAACUGGGCGUAAAGGGCACGCAGGCGGUUAUUUAAGUGAGGUGUGAAAGCCCCGGGCUUAACCUGGGAAUUGCAUUUCAGACUGGGUAACUAGAGUACUUUAGGGAGGGGUAGAAUUCCACGUGUAGCGGUGAAAUGCGUAGAGAUGUGGAGGAAUACCGAAGGCGAAGGCAGCCCCUUGGGAAUGUACUGACGCUCAUGUGCGAAAGCGUGGGGAGCAAACAGGAUUAGAUACCCUGGUAGUCCACGCUGUAAACGCUGUCGAUUUGGGGGUUGGGGUUUAACUCUGGCGCCCGUAGCUAACGUGAUAAAUCGACCGCCUGGGGAGUACGGCCGCAAGGUUA